Molecule: ribosomal RNA, 374 nt
Filed under: uncultured organism
Description: bacterial SSU rRNA
Rfam family: Bacterial small subunit ribosomal RNA
Source: RNAcentral
CGGGGGGGCGAAGCGUUGUUCGGAAUUACUGGGCGUAAAGGGCGCGUAGGCGGCCUGCUAAGUCGGACGUGAAAUCCCCCGGCCUCAACCGGGGGACGUGCGUCCGAUACUGGUGGGCUCGAAUCCGGGAGAGGGAUGUGGAAUUCCAGGUGUAGCGGUGAAAUGCGUAGAUAUCUGGAGGAACACCGGUGGCGAAGGCGGCAUCCUGGACCGGCAUUGACGCUGAGGCGCGAAAGCCAGGGGAGCAAACGGGACUAGAUACCCCGGUAGUCCGGGCCCUAAACGAUGUGUGCUUGGUGUGGCGGGUAUCGAUCCCUGCCGUGCCGAAGCUAACGCAUUAAGCACUCCGCCUGGGGAGUAUGGUCGCAAGGCUG